This 253-nucleotide ribosomal RNA is filed under the name uncultured bacterium. RNAcentral's name for it is "partial 16S ribosomal RNA". It matches the Rfam family "Bacterial small subunit ribosomal RNA", at positions 524 to 776 of the family's 1533-position model. The record is from RNAcentral.
UACGUAGGGUGCAAGCGUUGUCCGGAAUUAUUGGGCGUAAAGAGCUCGUAGGCGGUUUGUCGCGUCUGCUGUGAAAACUCGGGGCUUAACCCUGGGCCUGCAGUGGGUACGGGCAGACUAGAGUGCGGUAGGGGAGACUGGAAUUCCUGGUGUAGCGGUGAAAUGCGCAGAUAUCAGGAGGAACACCGGUGGCGAAGGCGGGUCUCUGGGCCGUAACUGACGCUGAGGAGCGAAAGCUAGGGGAGCGAAUGGG